GCAUAUAAGUAAGCGGAGGAAAAGAAACUAAAUAGGAUUCUCUUAGUAAUGGCGAAUGAACUGGGAUGAGCUCACCAUGGGAAUCGGGGUCCUCGACCUUGAAUUGUAGUCUCGAGAUGCAGCGCCAACAAAGGCGCAGGUGUAAGCCUCUUGGAAGAGAGCACCGCGGAGGGUGAGAGUCCCGUCUGUCACCUGCAGUCCCUUGUGUACGGCCUGCGUUCUAAGAGUCACGUUCCUCGGGAUUGGAGCGCAAAUUGGGUGGUAAGUUUCACCUUAAGCUAAAUAUUGGUCCGAGACCGAUAGCAAACAAGUACCAUGAGGGAAAGGUGAAAAGGACUUUGAAAAGAGAGUUAAAAGUGCUUGAAAUUGCUGAAAGGGAAGCGAAUGGAACCAGUUCCGCUGGGUGAGAUUGUCGCCUGCCAAGGCCUCGUGCCGGUCGCAUGUGAUGCUUCUUGCCUUGUGUGUCAGCUGCGGUCCGAGGUUGGGGAAAACUCCGGGGACAUGGAUGCCAACCUUCGGGGGGGUGAAUGUGCCUGGCAAGACCCGUCUUCGGACCGUGAGCAGUGCUUGGCAUGUUUGCGGUGUUGACGAAAUGCAUUUCCUCGACCCGUCUUGAAACACGG
This 623-nucleotide ribosomal RNA is filed under the name Akashiwo sanguinea. Its description in RNAcentral is "partial large subunit ribosomal RNA". It matches the Rfam family "Eukaryotic large subunit ribosomal RNA", at positions 38 to 664 of the family's 3401-position model. The record is from RNAcentral. Lineage: Eukaryota; Dinophyceae; Gymnodiniales; Gymnodiniaceae.